This 499-nucleotide ribosomal RNA is filed under the name uncultured bacterium. RNAcentral describes it as "bacterial SSU rRNA". It matches the Rfam family "Bacterial small subunit ribosomal RNA", at positions 28 to 517 of the family's 1533-position model. The record is from RNAcentral.
GACGAACGCUGGCGGCGUGGAUUAGGCAUGCAAGUCGAACGGUAGGAUACCUUCGGGUAUCUGAGAGUGGCGAACGGGUGAGUAACACGUAGGUGAUCUACCCUCAAGAUUGGGACAACCCAGGGAAACUUGGGCUAAUACCGGAUGAAAGCAGCAGUGAUGUUGUUUGAAAGGUGGCGUAAGCUGCCGUUUGGGGAUGAGCCUGCGCUCUAUUAGUUAGUUGGCGGGGUAAAGGCCCACCAAGGCGAUGAUAGAUAGGCGGCCUUAACGGGUGGUCGCCCACACUGGGAUUGAGAUACGGCCCAGACUCCUACGGGAGGCAGCAGUCGAGAAUAGUCUACAAUGGCCGAAAGGCUGAUAGUGCGACGCCGCGUGAACGAAGAAGCCCUUCGGGGUGUAAAGUUCUUUUAUAUGUGAGCAGUGCUUCUUAUAUUAACAGUAUGGGGAAGAGAUAUUAGCAUAUGAAUAAGCAACGGCUAACUCCGUGCCAGCAAGCCGG